AGUGAACGCUGGCGGUAGGCCUAACACAUGCAAGUCGAACGGCAGCACAGUAAGAGCUUGCUCUUACGGGUGGCGAGUGGCGGACGGGUGAGGAAUACAUCGGAAUCUACUUUUUCGUGGGGGAUAACGUAGGGAAACUUACGCUAAUACCGCAUACGACCUACGGGUGAAAGCAGGGGAUCUUCGGACCUUGCGCGAUUGAAUGAGCCGAUGUCGGAUUAGCUAGGUGGCGGGGUAAAGGCCCACCAAGGCGACGAUCCGUAUCUGGUCUGAGAGGAUGAUCAGCCACACUGGAACUGAGACACGGCCCAGACUCCUACGGGAGGCAGCAGUGGGGAAUAUUGGACAAUGGGCGCAAGCCUGAUCCAGCCAUACCGCGUGAGUGAAGAAGGCCUUCGGGUUGUAAAGCCCUUUUGUUGGGAAAGAAAAGCAGCAGGUUAAUACCCCGCUGUUCUGACGGUACCCAAAGAAUAAGCACCGGCUAACUUCGUG
This 492-nucleotide ribosomal RNA is filed under the name uncultured bacterium. RNAcentral describes it as "partial 16S ribosomal RNA". It matches the Rfam family "Bacterial small subunit ribosomal RNA", at positions 29 to 507 of the family's 1533-position model. The record is from RNAcentral.